This 656-nucleotide long non-coding RNA is filed under the name Malus domestica (apple). Its description in RNAcentral is "long non-coding RNA (MDOM_LNC015551)". The record is from RNAcentral. Lineage: Eukaryota; Viridiplantae; Streptophyta; Magnoliopsida; Rosales; Rosaceae.
UGUUGGUACCAUAUAUUGGGCCUCGUAUAUUUGGGCCUUGGGCCUUGUAUUUGGGCCUCACACUAAAGCCCAUACUUUGUAAAAGAGGAGGAGCCCCUUAUUCUAUAAAAGGGGACUCCUCCCCUCAUUCUAAAGGAGGCAAAAGAGCCAAGCCUAAGAAGGCUAAGAGAAGCUAUCAUUACAUUCAGGAGAGACCUCACACCACCGAGGCUCUCCUCUCCCUUCUCUUCUUUCUCCUCCGGGGGACUUCCCCCAAACACUUGUAUCCAUACAAUUACAGAGAAACAGAAUCAACUACAGUGUGGACGUAGCCCAAACAUUGGGGUGAACCACGAUACAUCUUGUGUCAUUUACAUUUCAUGCAGAUUCACGGUCGGAUUUACGUUGUUCCAAGACCUCCGGUUUUGUGCAUCAACAUUUGGCGCCGUCUGUGGGAAACGACACGAAAAGUUAUGUCGGUUCUUUUUCAAUUUUUCAUUUCCACCUUGAAUCUGCAAAAACCCAGAAACAGAAAACAUCCAAAUUCCAACACCUGCUCUUACACCUCCCUCUCUGUUCUUGUAAAAGUAACAUCAAAAUUACAAAAAGCUCAUGCGAAAACACCUCAUUUUCUCUCUUUCUCCUCCAAGACAAAGGGCUGUCGAAGAUCCCAACGC